Molecule: long non-coding RNA, 1304 nt
Organism: Belonocnema kinseyi
Lineage: Eukaryota; Metazoa; Arthropoda; Insecta; Hymenoptera; Cynipidae
Exons: 3
Source: RefSeq, a predicted model, not a curated record
UUCGAAAUGUAUGUAUAGUUAUAAAGUAGUUUUUCUGAUCAUAUCCGGUGCCUAAUACUGUUUUAAUAUAUACCCAAUCUAUAUAAAAUUGUGAAUUCUUAUAUUGAUUUAAGGUUACAUAUGAAAACAGUGUAGUGUCAAAAAAUCUGAUUCUGUGACAUGCGUUAAUUCUAAUUAUUGUGAUGGCAUCGCAAAGAGAUUCUGUAAAUUUCCGUAAAAGAAAUUGCAUUUUCAAAGAUGAGUGGUUAAAAGAUCCACUAUUUAAGGAUUGGCUGGCACCAACUAACGAUAAAAAUGUAGCAAAAUGUGUGGUUUGUAAGGAUAAUCCAACGAUAUGUGUUAAAUACGACGGAAAAAAGCUAUAACUAGACAUGCUGAAACAAAAUCUCACAAGAUCGCUACGCAAAACCUUAAAAUUUCGAAAUCGUUGACUGCGUUUUUUCCAGUGGAAGAGAGCAAAUUGGAAAAUAAAAUAACUGCGGUAGAAUUGACAAAAGUGUAUCACAAUGUAAAACAUGGAUUCAAUUAUUUAUCUGCUGACUGUGGAAUUAAAAUUGACAGAGAACUCUUUGGCGAUUCUGAAAUUGCAAUCAAGAUGCAAUUAGCCAGGACUAAAAUGGAAAGCAAUGUAAAAAAUGUCUUAUGUCCAUAUUCCGUAGAAUUCGUUCUGGAAAAAAUACGAAAAUGGGACCUGCCUUAUUCCAUUUGAAGUGAUGCUUCCAAUAAAGGAAACAGAAAGUUCUUUCUGCUAGCUGUGCGAAUCUUUGAAGUUAACUCUGGCGUAAAACAUUAUAUCCUGGACUUGUACAAGGAAUCAGACGAAACAUCGAGAUCAAUUACAAACACAAUUUUAAGAUCUCUAAAAGAAGUAGGUCUAAAUGUAGAUAAAUUGGUAUCUUACAGCGCGGUUAAUGCUCGCGUUAAUCAUGGAGAACACUGCUCUGUAUAUCAAAAAUUAAGGGAAAUAAGUCCUCGGCUGAUCAAAUCCAGUUGCAAGUGCCACAUAAUUCACAACGCUGCGAAAAAUUGAAUGAAGCUUUUGACAUAUGAUGCAGAAAUCUUGGUACUUAAAGUUUUCAGCGAUUUUUCAUGCAGUGCAAAAAAUGUCGGAGCGCUAAAAGAGUGUUUUGAGUUCGUAGAACAAGAAUAUUAUAUUAUUCUUAGACACAUUGGAGUGAGAUGGCUUUCUCUCUUCAGAGAAAUUAAUCGGUUGUUGUUGAACUGGACUCCUAUAAAAUUUACUUUAUCAAACAAUAUAAGUUUAAGAUUAUGUACUAAGCAACUUCAGUAAUUUUUUUAAUUUG